CCUACGGGAGGCAGCAGUGAGGAAUAUUGGUCAAUGGGCGGGAGCCUGAACCAGCCAAGUCGCGUGAGGGAAGACGGUCCUAUGGAUUGUAAACCUCUUUAGGCGGGGAGCAAUGCCGGGCACGCGUGCCCGGAGGGAGAGUACCCGCAGAAUAAGCAUCGGCUAACUCCGUGCCAGCAGCCGCGGUAAUACGGAGGAUGCGAGCGUUAUCCGGAGUUAUUGGGUUUAAAGGGUGCGUAGGCGGAUUUUUAAGUCAGCGGUAAAAUGUCCGGGCUCAACCCGGGCCGGCCGUUGAAACUGGGGAUCUUGAGUGGGCGAGAGGUAUGCGGAAUGCGUGGUGGAGCGGUGAAAUGCAUAGAGAUCACGCAGAACUCCGAUUGCGAAGGCAGCAUACCGGCGCCCGACUGACGCUGAGGCACGAAAGCGUGGGGAUCGAACAGGAUUAGAUACCCCAGUAGUC
Molecule: ribosomal RNA, 460 nt
Filed under: uncultured bacterium
Lineage: Bacteria
Description: partial 16S ribosomal RNA
Rfam family: Bacterial small subunit ribosomal RNA
Source: RNAcentral